AACGCGAAGAACCUUACCUGGCCUUGACAUCUACGGAAUUCUGCAGAGAUGCGGAAGUGCCUUCGGGAACCGUAAGACAGGUGCUGCAUGGCUGUCGUCAGCUCGUGUCGUGAGAUGUUGGGUUAAGUCCCGCAACGAGCGCAACCCUUGUCCUUAGUUGCCAUCAUUCAGUUGGGAACUCUAAGGAGACCGCCGGUGACAAACCGGAGGAAGGUGGGGAUGACGUCAAGUCAUCAUGGCCUUUAUGGCCAGGGCUACACACGUGCUACAAUGGCAGGUACAGAGGGAAGCCAACGCGCGAGCGGGAGCCAAUCCCAGAAAGCCUGUCGUAGUCCGGAUCGGAGUCUGCAACUCGACUCCGUGAAGUCGGAAUCGCUAGUAAUCGCAGAUCAGCAUUGCUGCGGUGAAUACGUUCCCGGGCCUUGUA
RNAcentral lists this ribosomal RNA (427 nucleotides) under uncultured Gammaproteobacteria bacterium. RNAcentral describes it as "bacterial SSU rRNA". It matches the Rfam family "Bacterial small subunit ribosomal RNA", at positions 958 to 1385 of the family's 1533-position model. The record is from RNAcentral. Lineage: Bacteria; Pseudomonadati; Pseudomonadota; Gammaproteobacteria.